This 85-nucleotide transfer RNA is filed under the name Anaerolineales bacterium. RNAcentral's name for it is "tRNA-Leu". It matches the Rfam family "tRNA". From Rfam's summary of the family: Transfer RNA (tRNA) molecules are approximately 80 nucleotides in length. Their secondary structure includes four short double-helical elements and three loops (D, anti-codon, and T loops). The record is from RNAcentral. Lineage: Bacteria; Bacillati; Chloroflexota; Anaerolineae; Anaerolineales.
GGGGAUGUGUUGGAAUUGGCAGACAGGCAUGACUUAGGAUCAUGUGCCGCAAGGCGUGUGGGUUCGACUCCCACCAUCCCCACCA